GUGGCGCAAUUGGUAGCGCAACGGUCUCCAAAACCGUAGGUUGUGGGUUCGAAUCCCGCCUGCC
RNAcentral lists this transfer RNA (64 nucleotides) under Varibaculum massiliense. It matches the Rfam family "tRNA", at positions 7 to 64 of the family's 71-position model. Rfam says of the family: Transfer RNA (tRNA) molecules are approximately 80 nucleotides in length. Their secondary structure includes four short double-helical elements and three loops (D, anti-codon, and T loops). Lineage: Bacteria; Bacillati; Actinomycetota; Actinomycetes; Actinomycetales; Actinomycetaceae. The record is from RNAcentral.